GACGAACGCUGGCGGCGUGCCUAAUACAUGCAAGUCGAGCGCAGCGGCGGGUGGGUGAGUCACGCGUGGGUAACCCGCCCUUAAGUCAGGGCUACCAUUUGGAAACAGAAGCUACUCCCGGAUACUAAUGGACGGACCUGCGAUGCAUUAGUUAGUUGGUUAGGUAACGGCCUACCAAGUCGAUGAUGCAUAGCCGAGUUGAGAGGGUGAUCGGCCACAGUGGGACUGAGACACGGCCCAAACUCCUACGUGAGGCAGCAGUAGGGAAUCUUCGACAAUGGACGAAAGUCUGAUGGAGCAACGCCGCGUGAGUGAAGAAGGUUUUCGGAUCGUAAAGCUCUGUUGUUAGUGAAGCGGUAAUCAACCAGAAAGUCACGGCUAACUACGUGCCAGCCGCCGCGGUAAUUC
Molecule: ribosomal RNA, 408 nt
Filed under: uncultured bacterium
Lineage: Bacteria
Description: partial 16S ribosomal RNA
Rfam family: Bacterial small subunit ribosomal RNA
Source: RNAcentral